CCACACAAUAUGUUAUAUGCUGAUAUGUGAUUACUUUGUUUUCUAUACAUCACUUUUGCUGGUGGAAGCUAGCAGAUUUUUGGCAUGUAUAAACUUAUUGGAAAACCCUUCUAGGUAUGCAUAGACUGAGUGUGCUUGGAUCCAGGCCACCUCUCUUGGAUUCCUAUCAAGAGCUCGGCUUACGGCACAGCUGUUGACCAAGCGAGAGUUUUUGUGAUGAGCCAGGUGCGCUCCUGGAAGAAAAAGAGGACGACACAAGGGAACCGUCGCCGCGUGGACGUCGCAGUGCCUCCCACACGGUGUUAUUGUGGUAGCAUAUCAUCGCCGCUCUAGGCGACCCCGUGGUGCUAACCACAUGCGUUGUCGGAACAUCCAUUCGAUGAUUCUGCCUAUACCCACCUGCCUGUAGCCUGGGAGUGUGUCGUCUCAACUGGAGCCUGAAGCACGCUACACGGUAGCAACCAACAUUGCUAUCCAUGUUGAAUAUUGCUGCUGCAGCAGCCAGGAAUGCUGGGGAUAGAGGUCGGUGAAGACCUUGCUUGCCUGUCGAAUGAACCAACUAAUGAGAAAAUCAAAUAAGCUGUCCAGGGACUGGUUGUGGAAUUUCUGUUGAAACUCAGCUCAAGCUUAAUAAACAUUGAGAGCAGUGAUGUUUUCUUUUAUUGUCGAGAGUGCGGAAGAAAUCUGAAUAAUCAAAUUUCAAGCUCAAAUUCCAUAUUGUUUUCAGGUUGUUCUUCACUGCUUUGUGUUCUUCAACUUUCUGUUCAGCCUGAUACAAAAAAAUGCAUUGUAUUGCUGUACGAUAUACCUCUGAACACAGUUCAGCUAAAAUGUCGCUUGGACAGAGCACUAUUGUUUCUUGUUUUUGUAGAGUUCUUAUUACGAUUCCCUUUUAGGUGUAUGAAACACUUCUUUUCAAUUUCAAAAGCAGCUGUGUUGGGUAUUUGAGAAUGGUGGCAGCACUACAUGAGGGUAUAAUGUGUGGGCAAUUUUUUCCUUGGUUCUUCAGGCUGCAUUGCAAUAGUUGGGGAGGUGUUGGAGAGGAACGGGAAUUGUAUAACUGCAGUCUCCUGCGUGCGAGAGGUGCAGUUGACCACAGCUGAGUACCUCAGUGCGCUUACUUUCGCUCAUGUCAUGAAGAGACUGGCGGCCUGCUGCCGAGGGAGGUGACACUGACUGCGCUGAGCGGAUGUCAUCUGAAGAAUCAUACGGUGGCUUGCCAUGCACAGCACCGUGCUCGGUUUACCUUGGGCUCAUCAUCAAGGACGAUGGCAACAAUCAGGCCUGAUCUGGAGGCGGUGUGGUCAGCGAGUCCUCUGUCGAAGGAGGCGAGGACCAGCAUGAGGUUUCAUAACUUAAAAUCAUUCAGUAAUUAAUCUUCAAGAAAUGUAUUAAGAGCAUCGUGUAGAAGUUCAUGAUUGUUUGACUCAGUUAUGGCAAAUGAAGCAAAUGAGUUUUUCAUGUAUUCUUGUUUGUAGCAAAGUAUAAGGGCAAUAAUUUUUUCAGAUAGCUUAUUAACAUUUGUUAAACAGUGGAGAUGUUGCUUGUUCC
Molecule: non-coding RNA, 1551 nt
Organism: Lolium perenne
Lineage: Eukaryota; Viridiplantae; Streptophyta; Magnoliopsida; Poales; Poaceae
Source: RefSeq, a predicted model, not a curated record